AGAGGCUGGAUAUACAAAGAGACAAUGGUGUGACCAUCUGUACAAAUGGAACUAUGGCCCACAACCUGCAGCAGCCAGCCCAGGAAGCCAACCUGUCACCUGCAGUAGCCAGGAUGGAUGCUGGCCUGCCCUCAGAGUCUGAGAGACUGACUCUCCUGCCCCAGAGUGUGGGCUCCACUACCCUCCUGCCUGCCGUGGGAAAUCAGGAGGGUGAAGGUGAAGCUGGACUUUGCCCAGAGGUGCCCACAGGGACGCCCAGAGCUGCACAAGCUCCCUCCAUCUUGCCUCUGGGACCAGCUCUGCAUUGCUCCAAAGCCCUCAUCAGUGUCUGCUUUCUGUUGCAAUAACUGAAUACCUGAGAUUGGAAAAUUUAUAAAGAAAAAAAUUAUAUCUGA
RNAcentral lists this long non-coding RNA (395 nucleotides) under Pan troglodytes (chimpanzee). RNAcentral's name for it is "lincRNA". Lineage: Eukaryota; Metazoa; Chordata; Mammalia; Primates; Hominidae. The record is from RNAcentral.